GCGGCUCUUUCUAGGAGUCUAGUUUCUUGCUAAUUGCAGAUGAAGCCUGAUCUGAUGGAUCCCCCUCGCCUUGAGAAUGCUCUGAUACUCUGAGACCUGGAGCUGGAUGUUUAGGAUAAUGCCUUCCUUGGAGCCUCACGCUUUGGGAAGGUGGUGAUUGACUGAUUCGUGCAUGUCCAUGCAAUUUGGCGCAUUCAGCUGCGUGCUUGCGGAUGUGGAUGUAUUUCACAGAAGCAGCAGCCUGCCUUCCCUUCCCUGGAUUCCAUCUGCUGUGCGAAACAAGAUCUGCAGUCAUUCCCAGGUGCUGAUCAGAAACCCACAAAUAUCUGCCAGGCUGGCAACAGACCCUAAAGAGAGGAUCCCUGGAGCCAGAGGCAAGGAAAUCUACAGCACUGUCCCGUCCCUUCUUUCAGCUCAUCCUGAUUGGUACAACCUCACAGGUUUGGGAAGAUCUCUGCAAAGCCUUCAGUAGGUUCUCUGAACCCUGGUUAGCAGGACUAAGGGAGAAAUAUGAGUUUGCUUAGGAUCCAUGGUGUGCCAGGAGUGCAUAAGCUCCAUAAUAUGGGCAGGGAUGUUUGUCUUGUUCACUCCUGUAUCCCCAGCACUGAGAAAAAUAAUGACAUAAAUAGGUGUUCAACAGAUAUCUACAGAACAAGCACAUGAAUUAUAGAAAGAAAAUGAAUCAUGCCUGGGUUCUUCCAUCAUGGCAAUUUCCAAUCCUCUUCUUAUAAGCCAAAGUUCUUUUUCUUAUGAAUGCCUCCAGGGUUUCCCUAUUCAUCCUUUCACCAACACACACAAAGCACUUAAUCCGUGCUUAAUCCUAGUACAGGUCCUUAGUGACACAUACGCUAAUCUGCUUUUCGCCACCUAGUGCCAGAUUUGUAAAUUGACUCCUCCUGAACCUUCCUUUCCAGAGAAAUGGAAGGUUUCCCCUCUUCACUCUGUGGAGUUAGGGACCUGGGAAAACAUCUUUUCCUAUCCUCUUCUUUUGAGGGAAAACAAUUAUUAAUGCAUCACAAAAGAAAAGUAUAUAUUCUCACCUCAGAUAUGUUAUCAAAGGAAAUGAUAAGUUGUUUUCAUAGUGUUGAGCUUUAUAUAUAAGGUAGAUUUGGGGACCAGACAAGCUGGUAUGAAUCCCACUGCUGCCCACGGUAGGUAUGAGAAUUGGCAGGUUACUUUUAUAUUCUUAGUUUCAGUUCUUUCCCCCCUAAUAUGGAUGAAAAUAAUAGUAAUGCCUCUCAAGGCAAUGUGUAAAACAUACCCAUGGUAAAUAUUCAUUCAUUUAUUUAUUUAACAAAUAUUUAGCAAAUGCCUUAGAUGUCCCAAGCAUUAUUCUGUUAUAGCCUCUUGGAUACAGCAAUUAACAAUGCAGAUGACAAAUCUCUGUCCUUAUUUUGCUUAUCAAUUAGUGUUAAAUAAAGAUUAGCCAUUAUUAUUGAUAUAUUAUACUAAACCUGAAUACUCUAGAACUUUUCAUCUAGACUAAGUCUUUUCUUCCCCUGUAAUUGAUGUCAGUGAGUCAUUUGUAUUUACUGCACAACUGCAGAGUACAGAGCCCUGGAUUGAGUCUAUAUGGAGGGGGAAGAGGAAGGAGGAUAGACUGAAGACGUGGCCUCUGCCUUCAGGAGUUUAUAGUGCACACGCAAAGACUAGCAAGGAUGAAAGGACUUUUGAAUUUAAGAAACAUGCAUAAAUUAAACAUACCGCUCUUUUUGGCUUGUCCUCUGAGUAAUAAGAACACGAGUGGAUUUUCAUCACUGUCUGUUGUAAUCUUUCCAGAAAAACCACUGAACCAUUCUGAAGGCUUCAGGAAGAGAAAACUAAUGGCUUUAUCUGAACUCCUUGGGAAAGAAUGGGGUUUAGUAAGUAAAUGGAUGCAUGUUUCUUAAACUGGCAAGAAUCCUCAUCAAGUGUCCUGACAAGGCAACAAGCAGAUGAAUGUCAAUGUUAUGUAUCUGACACAUUACCCACACACGUAACUCUGUGAUUUUAUAGAAUUUUAGCCUCUGAAGGAGAUUUUAAUUAUCCUCUUACUCAAAUCUUUACCUUUACAGAGAAGGAAAUACAUGCAGAGGGGAAGAGUGAUUUCACCCGAGGUGGUGCGGCUAGCAUGUGGACUGCCUGGACCAAUGCCUCAGUAUCCCCAUCGCCAGCACAGUGUUUUUUCUAGAACCUCUUGAAGCCUAAAGCCUCAGUAUCCCCAUUCUUAGUCCAGAGUUCUUUUUAGAACCUCUUGAAGCCUCCUUCUGUCUGACUUGGAGUGAAAACCCUUAGAGCUCAAUGGCCUUUUUAACCAAAUUGCUUGCUCUGAGCUCAGGCUAGUGGCAUGUUGUGAGGGAAUCUGAGUAGGAGCUUGUUGAUAAACAGGUCCUGGCAGUGAGAUUAGACACAUUUCUAGUUAUGGAAAAAGAAAGGGGGCUUUGCAGGUGCUUUUCCUCAUACUGUUCUCUUCUCAAGGAGUUCAGAUAAAGCUGCGAGUUUUCUUCUCCCAGACCCCUCAAAAUGGUUCCACAGUUUUUUUCUGGACAGACUUGAAUUAACAGUCUAAUCUCACUAGUACUGAGAGAGAGCUGAGAACAAGCAAGAAAGGGUGGUGUGUUGAAUGCAUCCAUGUUUCUUAAAUUCAAGAGUCCUUUUGAUCCUUGCAAAAGACCUCUGUCACUGUGGAGGAGACAGUACUCCAAGUUCCCCCAGUCUUGACUAAACCCCGUCUUCAAUGCCUUUUGCUUCUGAAAGGAUCUAGAUUCGCUUGGGAAAGGGGGAGAGAUUUUAAAAGGAGGUGACACCUAGUGGUCACUGUGACAAACAGCAGCCUACAGCGAAGAAGGCCGGUUGCUAAGGGUAGCAGCUGCAGCCAUUUGUCUCCACUCUGACUAAAUGGCCGGAAGAAUCAUAGAAUGUUUAUAUUGGGAGCAACCUCCAGAGAUUUUCUGUCAAGACAUCUGCCUCCAGCCAGCACGAAUAAUAUGUCUUAUGCUUAUGGUGUUGUAUAAAACACUUUUACAAAUAUUAUCACGUUUAAUUCUCACAUCGGCCCUGUGAAUUUUGUAACAUCAUUAUCUCUUUUUUAAAGACGAGAUGAUCAGUCAUAAUUUAGGCUUCUUGAGCAAAAUCACUCAGCUAGUGAGCCAUGAAGUAGGAGCUAGGAGUCAGGCCCUCAG
RNAcentral lists this long non-coding RNA (3161 nucleotides) under Homo sapiens (human). RNAcentral's name for it is "HSALNT0020910". The record is from RNAcentral. Lineage: Eukaryota; Metazoa; Chordata; Mammalia; Primates; Hominidae.